UUUUACACACGUAUGUGAACCCGUGUGCAUGCACACACCAUGGUUUGCUGACUUAGAUAAAGAUGCGAGAGAAAAUGUAAACCUGACACUUUUUCUUUUCCUAACUGUAGGAGUGGGCUUUGCCACCAGGAAAGUGGCUGGGAUGGCCAAACCCAACAUGAUUGUCAGUGUGAGUGGGAUGUGAUCACCAUUAAAUCAGAAAGUACCUUCAAAAAUACUGAGAUUUCCUUCAAACUCGGCCAGGAAUUUGACGAAGUCACCGCAGAUGAUAGGAAAGUCAAGAGCACCAUAACCUUAGAUGGGGGUGUUUUGGUACAUGUGCAGAAAUGGGACGGUAAAUCAACUACCAUAAAGAGAAAACGAGAGGGUGAUAAACUGGUGGUGGAAUGUGUCAUGAAAGGUGUUACUUCCACCAGAGUUUAUGAGAGAGCAUAAGCCGCAGGACAUUGACCUGGACUGAAGUUUGCAUCAAACUCUAUGACAUACUCUUGGAUGUAUUGUUCAAAAAGAGAUUGUUAUUUUCCAUUAUUAAGCAAGCAACUGAUUUUAUCACAUGCUGAUUUUAUUCAAUAUGGUUGUAUUGGUUAAAUAAAACUUUUUGGAUUUAAAAGGUGA
Microcebus murinus (gray mouse lemur) is the source of this 615-nucleotide non-coding RNA. Lineage: Eukaryota; Metazoa; Chordata; Mammalia; Primates; Cheirogaleidae. The record is from RefSeq and is a predicted model, not a curated record.